GGCCGUGCGGGAGGAGGCGGCGGGAGCGGGCAUUGUGCGGGCGGCUCCGGGCUGCCCCGGGGGCUGCUCGCAGCCUGGGAGCCGGGUCCGGCCCGUCCUGAACCGCCGGCAGCCGUACCCACAGCGGUUCUCAUACCGGCACCGCGAUCCACGCCGCUGUCGGCACCGGCAUCGCUCUUGACAUCAGCACGGGCAUCGGCACCGGCUUGGGCACCGACACCGGUACCUGGAUCAACGGUGGCAUCGCCCGUCUGUGUUGGGAUCAACGGCGACAUCGGCGCCCGGGUCAGCACCGCCAUCGGUACCUCCGUCCCCAUCCGUACCCACACCGACAUCGACACGACCGCGCAGCCCAGCCUCAGCCAGUGUCACUCCUGCUGCUCCUGUGGCUGAGGGGACCGUGGCUCACUGUCUGCCCACAGCUGGAUCUGAGGAGGACUCCGGCCAAAGUUGUGGGGCUCCCAGCCCACAGCCCCCCGUGAGCAGCACCCAGGGCAGUGGGGAGACAGCCAGGCCAGGCUGGAGGGCGCCCGGGUUAGCAUGACCGAGGUGGAGCCGGUGCUGGAUUUUGCAUCCUCAGGGAGGACUGGACGCCGCAAUGCCCUACCUGACAUCUUGGGCUCACCGGCAGGCGUCAGCCCCUCUGACCUGCCCCUCAAACUGGCCGAGAUGUCCCUGAGUGCAGGCAGCUCCCAGGAGAUGCAGUCACCUUCUGCAGAAGUUCCCCCACCGCAGCCCCAAAGCCCGGAGCUGAAGGACACGUCCUAACCCUGCUGGGGGACUGAGCAGUGGGGUGAGGACGCUGCGGAGCAUCCGCAUCGCUGCCCUUGUGCCAUGCAGCGAGAGCAUCGCCUGCAGGAGAGGAGCCACGUGGGGACCUGUGGGGACAAAGGGACACUUCACUCCUGCGCAGGGCAAGGAUGGGGACGUUCAUCCCACAGGAGGACACUUUUCUUCCAGAAGCGAGCGGCCAGGGGGGGCCUAUGCCAUGAGCAGCCCAGGGGGUCUGAGUGUUGUUCACUGUGAUGUUUUGGGUACCACGUCCGUGUCCUGUCCUUCCUUUUUCCAGUGGGUGAUCCAAGAUCUUUUUUUUUUUUCUUUCUUUUUUCUGAGGAAGCAUCAUCGAUGGGCUGGGGAGGAGAGCCUCCCAGCAGCAGCCAGCACCUCACCAAGUGUUGCUCCAGAGUGCUCCUUGCAUCGGGGGAGCAGGGAGCUCAGCUGGGAUCAUGUUGCAAAGUCAUCCUUGGGGACAGUGACAUCUCUGCCACUCACAGCUCUGCUGCCUACUGAGUUGGGACUUACUGCUGGGGACAAAACACGUGGCCCAGCUCCAGAGCAUGGCAGGGGUGAGCAGGUGGGGGGCCAGAGAAGGGCACAGUGCUCAUAUCUGUUCCUAUCCCCAGGUGGUAACCUGGUGGUCACCCAUAGCUCUUGCUGUGGGACCAGUGAAUGGAGUCCUAAGGGCCACCCAGUUCUGAGCAGUGCUGCGUGGGGUGGGUGGCACUGAGAGCCACAGCGUGUGUCAGUGGGCAUGGGCACAUGUGGGAGUGAGUGCUGCUGGGGGUGGGCACUGUGUGCAGGGGUGUCUGUGCACAUGGGUGUCUGUGUGCGUGAGUGGCAGUGAGCAAUCACCCGUGUGCAUGGGCGUCCGUGUGCUUGUGUGCCUCUGCACGUCAGUGUCUGUGUUUGUGGGGGUCUUUUUGUGUGGGUGCUGCUGUGGGUGGGUGUUUGUGUCCAUGUGUGUGGAUGCCUGUGCACAUGGGUGCCUGUGUGCAUGGAUGCCGGUGUUCAAAAAUGCCCGUGUGCAGGGCUGUCCAUGUAUGUGAGUGUUCACGUGUGUGGUGCCCAUGUGCACGGGCUCUCCUGUGGAUGGCUGUCCCUGUGCACAUAUGUCUGUGUGUGUGUCCAUGUGCGUGCACAUCCAUGUCCUGUAGCCCUGCUGCACCAGGGGGAUGCUGGGAGCCCCAGGGCCGUGCGCAUUUGGGACUCUGAUGCCCAAGGGUGGCUCUGGGAGGAGCAGAGACAGGUGACCCCUCCAGGCCUGUCCCCAACCUGUGGCACCUGGAGGGUGUAUUCAAGGAGCACUGUGCACUCUGGGGGGGAGCUGUGUGACUCCCAGGGCCAUGGUUGGAUAAUAAACUGUGUGUGUUUCCCUGUGACACAGUGCUCCGUGCUCUGUCCCCACGGGGACUGGUGGCUGUCCCACCCAAGGGACAGGGGCUCCCACUCGCAGCCCCUCCAAGGCCAUGGGGAGGAGGCUGAACUUGAGCCCCUGGCUAUUUUUGGGUGCCUGCAGUGACACCUUAGGGAUAGAAAGAGAGACAAAGUGUCCCUGAGUGUCACCCAGGCACAGUCGUUUUGCCCCUGAUGCCACCACCCUGC
Long non-coding RNA from Lagopus muta (rock ptarmigan), 2382 nucleotides. RefSeq lists it as uncharacterized. The record is from RefSeq and is a predicted model, not a curated record. The transcript has 5 exons. NCBI's taxonomy places the organism in Eukaryota, Metazoa, Chordata, Aves, Galliformes, Phasianidae.